CCUACGGGAGGCAGCAGUGGGGAAUAUUGCACAAUGGGGGAAACCCUGAUGCAGCAACGCCGCGUGGGUGAAGAAGUAUUUCGGUAGGUAAAGCCCUAUCAGCAGGGAAGAGAAUGACGGUACCUGACUAAGAAGCCCCGGCUAACUACGUGCCAGCAGCCGCGGUAAUACGUAGGGGGCAAGCGUUAUCCGGAUUUACUGGGUGUAAAGGGAGCGUAGACGGUUGUGCAAGUCUGAAGUGAAAGCCCGGGGCUCAACUGCGGAACGGCUUUGGAAACUGUGUAACUGGAGUGCUGGACAGGUAAGCGGAAUUCCUGGUGUAGCGGUGAAAUGCGUAGAGAUCAGGAGGAACACCGGCGGCGAAGGCGGCUUACUGGACAGUAACUGACGUUGAGGCUCGAAAGCGUGGGGAGCAAACAGGAUUAGAUACCCGUGUAGUC
RNAcentral lists this ribosomal RNA (440 nucleotides) under uncultured bacterium. RNAcentral describes it as "partial 16S ribosomal RNA". It matches the Rfam family "Bacterial small subunit ribosomal RNA", at positions 338 to 795 of the family's 1533-position model. The record is from RNAcentral.